AGGGUUCGAUUAUGGCUCAGAUUGAACGCUGGCGGCAGGCCUAACACAUGCAAGUCGAGCGGAUGAGUGGAGCUUGCUCCAUGAUUCAGCGGCGGACGGGUGAGUAAUGCCUAGGAAUCUGCCUGGUAGUGGGGGACAACGUUUCGAAAGGAACGCUAAUACCGCAUACGUCCUACGGGAGAAAGCAGGGGACCUUCGGGCCUUGCGCUAUCAGAUGAGCCUAGGUCGGAUUAGCUAGUUGGUGAGGUAAUGGCUCACCAAGGCGACGAUCCGUAACUGGUCUGAGAGGAUGAUCAGUCACACUGGAACUGAGACACGGUCCAGACUCCUACGGGAGGCAGCAGUGGGGAAUAUUGGACAAUGGGCGAAAGCCUGAUCCAGCCAUGCCGCGUGUGUGAAGAAGGUCUUCGGAUUGUAAAGCACUUUAAGUUGGGAGGAAGGGCAUUAACCUAAUACGUUAGUGUUUUGACGUUACCGACAGAAUAAGCACCGGCUAACUUCGUGCCAGCAGCCGCGGUAAUACGAAGGGUGCAAGCGUUAAUCGGAAUUACUGGGCGUAAAGCGCGCGUAGGUGGUUUGUUAAGUUGAAUGUGAAAGCCCCGGGCUCAACCUGGGAACUGCAUCCAAAACUGGCAAGCUAGAGUAUGGCAGAGGGUGGUGGAAUUUCCUGUGUAGCGGUGAAAUGCGUAGAUAUAGGAAGGAACACCAGUGGCGAAGGCGACCACCUGGGCUAAUACUGACACUGAGGUGCGAAAGCGUGGGGAGCAAACAGGAUUAGAUACCCUGGUAGUCCACGCCGUAAACGAUGUCGACUAGCCGUUGGGAUCCUUGAGAUCUUAGUGGCGCAGCUAACGCAUUAAGUCGACCGCCUGGGGAGUACGGCCGCAAGGUUAAAACUCAAAUGAAUUGACGGGGGCCCGCACAAGCGGUGGAGCAUGUGGUUUAAUUUCGAAGCAACGCGAAGAACCUUACCAGGCCUUGACAUGCAGAGAACUUUCCAGAGAUGGAUUGUGCCUUCGGGAGCUCUGACACAGGUGCUGCAUGCUGUCGUCAGCUCGUGUCGUGAGAUGU
This 1071-nucleotide ribosomal RNA is filed under the name bacterium enrichment culture. Its description in RNAcentral is "bacterial SSU rRNA". It matches the Rfam family "Bacterial small subunit ribosomal RNA", at positions 8 to 1075 of the family's 1533-position model. The record is from RNAcentral.